UACAUUCUAAAAUCAGUUAUACUUCAGCUCAAUCGAAAAAAGAGAAGAAAAAAAAAACAUAUUGGUCUUGAGUAAUGGAAUCGUUACCUCACGAUGUGGUUGAGCUUAUUCUAGAGAGACUGGCGAUGAAACCUCUCAUGAGAUUUAAAUGUGUAUCAAAGCAAUGGAAAACAACAAUCGAAUCCGAAUACUUCAAACAGAGAGUGUUGAAACGAGAUCCGAGUGUGCUUCUUCAAGUGCUCGUUGUUCCUACACAUGAGAUAGAUCAUACAAGGGAGAGGACUAUAGAUGCUAAUGCACAAGCACAACGUAAACAAGAUGACUUCAUUUGUUUUUUAUACCUCCUAACAGGGGUUUUGCUUUUCUCUCCCUUGUUCUUUUUAAUACUCUCACUAAACUAAUUUAUUUUAUUAUAUUUCAUCUACGUUUGAUAUGAAAAUGUUUAGAUGCGGCAAGUACUAAGCAUAUGUCAAUGUCAAAUGUAAAUGAAAUAUAAUAAAAUAAAUAUAGUAUAUAUAUAUAUUCUACGUUCUGUUAUAAAUAUUGUAGUGAUGUCCAUAUGGAAAGUCCUAGAUAUACUUGUUCCCCACUCCAAGUUAAGCUUUGUCUCCAAGCUAUUGUAUCCUAUAUAAGGAGAUCAUUAUUCAUGGAAUAAGACACACAAAUUCCUCUCUUCUCUUCUCUUCUCUUCUUUAUUUACAACACGUUAUCAGCACGAGACUCUAAACCCUAGCUAAAAUCCAGCGACCACAAAAACCUUAAUUUCAGCCGCAACUUUAAACCGUCAUAUCUCCCUAACCGUAAGGAUCCAGACGGCGAGUAAUAUAUCAAAUUGAAGCUCUUGACGAGACGAAUCCAGAGCCGCAGACCACGCAUCAAUCCGACUCCAGACGCGCCGUCACCUCCCAGUGCAAGCCGCGCCGUCAAAGAUCAUCCAAAACCCUAAUAGCCGCCAACUCCUUAUCUCUCUUAAUUUCGAUUUCUAUUGUUCUUAGAUCUCAUACUAAUCCAACUUUGAAACUUUCAUUGUUGAUUAUUUAAGGUUUCUAAAAGAGGAACCAAGGAGAAAAGAUCGGCAAAGAUUAAGGUUACCAGUCCGAUCCACACAGUGCUAAGUCCCAAACCGGCUAUGUUUUCACAUAUGGAGGCACGACCAUUUCAUGGAGAUCAGUCAAGCAGACUAUAUCAGCCACAUCAUCCAAUCACUCGGAUAUAUUGGCGAUCCAUGAAGCAAGCGGAGAGUGUGUCUGGUUGAAACUCAUGACACACCAUAUUCGGACAGCAUGUGGGAUCACGGAUGGUAAAGACGAGCCGACCGUUCUUUACGAAGACAAUACGGCCUGCAUAGCUCAGCUCAAAGAUGGUUACAUCAAGGGUGACAAGACUAAGCAUGUUCUCCCCAAGUUCUUCUUCACCAACGAUCUUCAGAAAGAAGGAGAGGUCAAGGUCCUCUAAGUCAGAUCUAGCGAGAACUCAGCCGACCUCUUCACUUAGGCAUUACCAACAUGCACGCUCAGGAAGCUUAUGCAGCAGAUUGGUAUGCGAUCACUGAGAAGCCUUCAGUGAUAUUCACUUCAGGGGAAGUAAUGCGGCUGUACUCUUUUUCCUAUCCAUGGCUUCCCGUUUUUACCACAUUGGGUUUUUGGGUUUACCAUGGAAAGGUUUUAACGAGGCAGUAUUCCAAACGCAUUACAAACUCUAGACGGUUAUGGCAUUACAAUCUCGGUUUUUAACGAGACAGCAUCUACGGCGUUUUGAAAGCACUUCGACAUAUUGGACAUCAAGGGGAAGUGUUAUAAAUAUUGUAGUGAUGUCCAUAUGGAAAGUCCUAGAUAUACUUGUUCCCCACUCCAAGUUAAGCUUUGUCUCCAAGCUAUUGUAUCCUAUAUAAGGAGAUCAUUAUUCAUGGAAUAAGACACACAAAUUCCUCUCUUCUCUUCUCUUCUCUUCUUUAUUUACAACACGUUCAUGUUUUUUGUAAUUUGCUUUUUACAUAGUCAUUCAGUUAAUUAGCUUUGACAAAUAUGCUUGGUAUCUAGGGAUCUUACUAACUUCCUGUCAUGGUCUCGAACCGGGAUGGUUUAGAUUCUGUUUCGGUAACUUGUGUUGUGCUUGCUUGUUGUUAUAAACUUAUCUCAAAAAGUUUGUGGAACAAGUAAAUUCUCAAAAGGUUUGUGAAACAAAAGAAUAAAACCUUUUUCUAAUCUCUGAAGGAAAGAGAACGCUUUCGCGGUUCCUAACGCAGUCCGAAACCUUCUGUGCCAGUUCAAAUCAGUAUGAUCGCCUCCACGGCUCGUGCUGGCUCCUCCUCCUCCAGGGCGGAUUCUCGAGUGCAGAUUAUCGUAGAGGCUACCGUACUGGUCAACAAGAUAACCAGCUAUAAACCAGACAAACCGGAUUAAUGGUUUAAACUGAACGAAGCGCAGUUGAAUUUGUAUUUUCCUAAGAUAAUCAAUUCGAUAACUACAAGUAUCCGAUUUA
RNA transcript from Raphanus sativus (radish), 2481 nucleotides. RefSeq lists it as uncharacterized. The record is from RefSeq and is a predicted model, not a curated record. Lineage: Eukaryota; Viridiplantae; Streptophyta; Magnoliopsida; Brassicales; Brassicaceae. The transcript is spliced from 2 exons.